This 244-nucleotide ribosomal RNA is filed under the name uncultured bacterium. RNAcentral describes it as "partial 16S ribosomal RNA". It matches the Rfam family "Bacterial small subunit ribosomal RNA", at positions 533 to 776 of the family's 1533-position model. The record is from RNAcentral.
GGCUAGCGUUGCUCGGAAUCACUGGGCGUAAAGCGCACGUAGGCGGCUUGUUAAGUCAGGGGUGAAAUCCUGGAGCUCAACUCCAGAACUGCCUUUGAUACUGGCGAGCUUGAGUCCGGGAGAGGUGAGUGGAACUGCGAGUGUAGAGGUGAAAUUCGUAGAUAUUCGCAAGAACACCAGUGGCGAAGGCGGCUCACUGGCUCGGUACUGACGCUGAGGUGCGAAAGCGUGGGGAGCAAACAGG